RNAcentral lists this ribosomal RNA (484 nucleotides) under uncultured bacterium. Its description in RNAcentral is "partial 16S ribosomal RNA". It matches the Rfam family "Bacterial small subunit ribosomal RNA", at positions 29 to 507 of the family's 1533-position model. The record is from RNAcentral.
AUUGAACGCUGGCGGCAUGCUUUACACAUGCAAGUCGAACGGCAGCGCGGGCUUCGGCCUGGCGGCGAGUGGCGAACGGGUGAGUAAUGCAUCGGAACGUGCCCAGUAGUGGGGGAUAGCCCGGCGAAAGCCGGAUUAAUACCGCAUACGACCUGAGGGUGAAAGCGGGGGACCGAAAGGCCUCGCGCUAUUGGAGCGGCCGAUGUCGGAUUAGCUAGUUGGUGGGGUAAAGGCUUACUAAGGCGACGAUCCGUAGCUGGUCUGAGAGGCCGACCAGCCACACUGGGACUGAGACACGGCCCAGACUCCUACGGGAGGCAGCAGUGGGGAAUUUUGGACAAUGGGGGCAACCCUGAUCCAGCCAUGCCGCGUGAGGGAAGAAGGCCUUCGGGUUGUAAACCGCUUUUGUUCGGGAAGAAAACCUCUGGGCUAAUACCCCGGGGGGAUGACGGUACCGGAAGAAUAAGCACCGGCUAACUACGUG